AUUAUAGCAAUAUUAUUAAAGAGGAGUGGCGAACGGGUGAGUAACACGUAGAUAAUCUGCCUUCAGACGGGGACAACUCAGGGAAACUUGUGCUAAUACCCGAUGAGACCACAAGAAGGGAUUUUUGUGGCCAAAGGCGGGCAGCAAUGCUCGUGCUGAAAGAUGAGUCUGCGUCCUAUCAGCUAGUUGGUGGGGUAAAUGCCUACCAAGGCUAAGACGGGUAGCCGGCCUGAGAGGGUGAACGGCCACACUGGGACUGAGACACGGCCCAGACUCCUACGGGAGGCAGCAGUGAGGAAUUUUCCGCAAUGGGCGCAAGCCUGACGGAGCGACGCCGCGUGAGGGAUGACAGCUUUCGGGUUGUAAACCUCUUUUAUUAAGGAAAAAGAUCUAUAUGCUAAUAUCAUGUAGAUUUGAUGGUACUUAUUGAAUAAGCCCCGGCUAACUACGUGCCAGCCGCUGC
Molecule: ribosomal RNA, 463 nt
Filed under: uncultured bacterium
Lineage: Bacteria
Description: bacterial SSU rRNA
Rfam family: Bacterial small subunit ribosomal RNA
Source: RNAcentral